AGUGAACGCUGGCGGUAUGCCUAACACAUGCAAGUCGAACGGCAGCACAGUAAGAUCUUUCCCUUACGGUUGGCGACUGGCGGACGGGUGACGAAUACAUCGCAUUCUUCUUUUUCUUGGGUGACAACGUAGGGCAACUUACACUAAUAGCUCAUACGUCCUACGGGUGAAAGCAGGGGUUCUUCGGACCUUUCGCGUUUGUUUUAGCCGAUGCCGGAUUAGCUAGUUGGCGAGGUAAAGGCCCACCAAGGCGACGAUCCGUAGCUGGUCUGAGAGGAUGAUCAGCCACACUGGAACUGAGACACGGUCCAGACUCCUACGGGAGGCAGCAGUGGGGAAUAUUGGACAAUGGGCGAAAGCCUGAUGCAGCCAUACCGCGUGAGUGAAGAAGGCCUUCGGGUUGUAAAGCCCUUUUGUUGGGGAAGAAAAGAAGCAGGUUAAUACACCGCUGUUCUGACGGUACCCAAAGAAUAAGCAACGGCUAACUUCGUG
This 492-nucleotide ribosomal RNA is filed under the name uncultured bacterium. RNAcentral's name for it is "partial 16S ribosomal RNA". It matches the Rfam family "Bacterial small subunit ribosomal RNA", at positions 29 to 507 of the family's 1533-position model. The record is from RNAcentral.